Delphinapterus leucas (beluga whale) is the source of this 2667-nucleotide non-coding RNA. The record is from RefSeq and is a predicted model, not a curated record. Lineage: Eukaryota; Metazoa; Chordata; Mammalia; Artiodactyla; Monodontidae.
ACAGGGGAGCAGGGGGGGAGCAAGUGGAGCCGUGGCUUUUGUUGGCGGGGGCCCCCUGGCUCCCCUGAGUCCCCCGCUUGUCUCCAGCUGGGUCUUCUGACCCCAAGAGAGGUUCCAAGGGAAAAGAUGCUUCACUUCUCCCAUAGUAUAGAAAUGCCAGUUGAAACCAAUAUACUGAUCCAAAAGGAAUGUUUAUCCACUUUUGGGAGGCGGAGGGGUGGGAGAGAAGUGGAGAACAACCUGGCAUUAGGAUCAGAAUUUUAAAUGAACAUACCCUUUGACCUAACAGUUGCGCGUACAGUAGCUCUAUCACCUACUAACUAACCUUGGAAAUCAUACAGUAUCACUUGCACAUUUUGUUCAUGAUAGGUCACUAAGGCUGGCCCAUAUUCAAGGGGAGAGGAAUUAGAUUCCCUCUUUUGAUAAGUGUGAAAGAAUUUGCAGCCAUGUUUUUAAACCAUCACAGCUGUUAUUAUUGUGGCCCUUAGUAUACUCUAGCUUCUAGUAAGUGAAUUAUCUCACUUCUUACUUAUCAGCUCCACGUGGGAGAGCAAGGAUUCAUUUGAUUCGUUAAGAUCUCAGCCCCUCAUCGCUUCCCAGUGAACCUAGGGCCCUGUUCACUGCAGAGCUCGAUAGAUGGUAUAGAAAUGAAUUUCCUCUUGCAGGAGCUGGCCUUGGAUAUCGUGCUCCACUUCCACUGGAUGACAUCCCUGUUGGCCCCAUAGAAACCAUCAUCGACACAUGUGAGAAUUAAAAUGGGUAUACGUGCUGGUACCCCCCCUUCCCUCUUAUUCCUGACUUAACUAUGGUCAUGAUGCCUGGACCUGGGCAGCCAUCUUGCACCUAUGAAGCAACCAGCACAAGGUCUAUUGGUGGUAACAGCUCUGCUGCUGCUCAUCCAGGUUAUUGCACCAUCCCUUGGGGUGCUCCUACACCUACAUGUUUGAUAUCAAGAAUUUGAAGACAGAACUGUGGUGCCAAGGCUCAGCCUUUGAGAAUAUGACUCUUUCCCUACAUUUGAAGGUUUUCUUCUCUUGGCAGAGAAAUAAAUCAAUAUAAAGGCAACCACUAGAAAAAUUAAAAACAGACUAUAAAACUUCAAAUCAUCAGACAAAAAUACAAACACAUGUGAGCACACACACAUACAUAUCAAAGAAAACAAAAAAAAUGCAUGUAAAACAUAGAAAACAGAGGAAGCAUUAAAAUAGAAAACACAGCAGAAGAUAAGAUGACAGAAGUAAGCAUAAUACAUGUUAUAUCAAGAAAUGUAAAUAGAAUAAACCCAUGUUAUAACAGAAAAAAAGAUUAUGAGAUCAUAAAACAAUGUUCUAUUGUAUGUUGUAUAGAAGAGAUGCAUCUUUACCAGAAUCACUCAGAGAAGUUAAAAAUAAAAUAUAAACCAAGGUAUACAAGAAAAUACUGAGCUGAGGCUGCAAUGUUACUCUCAGUCAAGGUCAAAUUCAAAAUAAAAAUGCUAAAUGAGAGAAAAGGAAGUUAAACAGGAAAGACAGCAGUAUCCACGUUAAGAAUCUAGUUUUUUGAAAUCUCUAGCAUAGCUUCAAAACCAAGAAUAAGAUAUGAGAGUUGAGAAUAACAGUAUACAUACAGAAAAUGCAAAGAGAAAUUGGAUGAGACAUGAGUACAUUUUAACUGACCUCAUCGGCUCAUGACCUAGUAAGAAACAAAAGAUAAGGAGGAAUGUGGGGAAUCCAAAUAGUAAUUAGUAAUUAAAUAUGAUAGAGCAUGAGGUGCAAAAAUCUCAAAUAAAAUACUAGCAAAUAUAAAUCAACAAUACCUUCCAAGAAUCAUUCAUCAUAUCCAAGUAAGUUCAUUCUAGUAAUGCAGGUGGCCCAACAUUAGGGAAUUUGUAAUAAAACUGACCAUAUUAAUAGAUCAGAGAAGAACUAUAUAACAUCUCAAUACAUGCCAAAAAGACAUUUGAAAAAUAUCCCACAUCAAUUCCCGCUUAAAACAAACAAAACCAUAACAGAGUAGCUAAAUUAUGCAUAGACGAUAUGACUGAAAAAUGCACAACCGACGAUGCACAACAGACAAUAAGAGAAUUCAAAAUGAUGGCAGUUUACAAAGCUUAAUAUACAAAACUCAGUAGCCUUCCUCUACAUAAAAAAAUACAAUUUACCAGAAUAUAUAAUAGCAAUUGCACUUAUAAUAGCAAUCAAAAAGAUAAAAUAUUCAGAACAAUACUUAAAAGACAUAUAAGGGCCUUUAUGAAUAUUAAAAUUAUACAGGGAACAUUCUAUACUGACCUUUUGAAUAGAAAGACCCAAUAUUAUAAAAACAUCAAUGCUCACUUAAUAUAUCAAUUCAAUGUGAUUCUAACUAAAAUACAGGAUUUUAAGGUGGGGAGCUUGUCAAAAAAUGAUAUGAAACUCAAAUGGGGAAUUAAAUAAGGGGCCGGGAAAGCCCUGUAAAAGAAAAGUAACACGAUGCGGCUACACCUAUCAGAUGACAAAACACAUUAUGAAAUUGUAAUUUGUAAAGAAAUUUGGUACCCAAAGAUGAAAUAGACAACCCAGUGGACCAAAGUAGAGAACUAGAAACAGACUCCAGAACACAUGAGAAUUCAAUUUCUGUUUAAGGUGACAUUUGAAUUAAAAGAAAAAGGUGGUAGGAAAAUAAAUCAUUUGGGGGAAGAAAUAAAAUGGA